Molecule: ribosomal RNA, 497 nt
Filed under: uncultured bacterium
Lineage: Bacteria
Description: partial 16S ribosomal RNA
Rfam family: Bacterial small subunit ribosomal RNA
Source: RNAcentral
GGUGAACGCUGGCGGCGUGCCUAAUACAUGCAAGUCGAGCGAAAAGACGAGGAGCUUGCGCCCCUGACGGUGGCGGCGGACGGGUGAGUAACACGUGGAUAACCUACCUAUUAGACGGGGAUAAUUACGGGAGACCGGAUCUAAUACCGGAUAAUAUAUUGAACCGCAGGGAGCAAUAGUGAAAGACGCUUUUGCUGGCACUUAUAGACGAUUCCGGGCCGGAUGAGCUAGUUGGUAGGGGAACGGCUCACCAAGGCGACGAUGCGUAGCCGAUCUGAUAGGGUGAUCGGCCACACUGGAACUGAGACACGGUCCAGACUCCGACGGGAGGCAGCAGUAGGGAAUCUUCCGCAAUGGGCGAAAGCCUGACGGAGCAACGCCGCGUGAGUGAUGAAGGUCUUCGGAUCGUAAAGCUCUGUUGUUAGGGAAGAACAAAUGUGUAUUUAACUAUGCACGUCUUGACGGUACCUAAACAGAAAGCCCCGGCUAACUACGUG